Molecule: ribosomal RNA, 244 nt
Filed under: uncultured bacterium
Lineage: Bacteria
Description: partial 16S ribosomal RNA
Rfam family: Bacterial small subunit ribosomal RNA
Source: RNAcentral
GUAGGUGGCAAGCGUUGUCCGGAAUUACUGGGUGUAAAGGGAGCGUAGGCGGGAAUGCAAGUUGAAUGUUUAAACUAUGGGCUCAACCCAUAGUCGCGUUCAAAACUGCAUUUCUUGAGUGGAGUAGAGGCAGGCGGAAUUCCUAGUGUAGCGGUGAAAUGCGUAGAUAUUAGGAGGAACACCAGUGGCGAAGGCGGCCUGCUGGGCUCUAACUGACGCUGAGGCUCGAAAGCGUGGGUAGCAA